CCCAUCGAAGAAGUCGUAAAGCUACUCUGCGAUUGGCUGACUACCCAUUCCUCACCGGGAGUGACGCAUGUCAUCCACUCGCUGGGAGAAAAUGAAGACAAAAUCCAACGCUACGUUGGUUUCCAGCACAAAAUCCGACAGCUAAAAUUAAAACUGGACAACGACGGCGAUGACGUUUGAGUGGCGCUAGCCGACGACAGCGCCCGCCGAGGCCUCCUCCCUACGUAAUCUGACAAAUGUCGCCAUCGCGCCUGGGUUUGUAGCCGCUUGGCCGCCUGCCAGUCUCCUUGCACGCCCGCUGCCUGUGAUGUCUGUCCUCCCGCCACUGCCACCGGAGCUGUGGGUAUCGGUGCUGAGCUUCCUGGGCCCCACCGACAUGCAGGCGGUGCGCUGCUCGUGCCGAGCCCUGCGCCUGCUGGCCGACCACCCUUAUCUCUGGCGAGGCCAGACGGUGGUGCUAUCCGACCUGCGCCGCUACACUUUCGGCUUCUGGGACACGCUACGCCGGCGCAAGCUGACCCGCGUGGCCGUGCGCCACCUGCGCCGCAAGGAGUGGCGGCGCCUGGUAAAGUUCCUGCCGUCGCUCAGCGCCGUCGCCUUCGUCAACGGCGGCCGCGUCUACAAGCAAAAGUACCUGGACCACCUGCUGCAGUUCUCUGACGUGCGGGAGCUGGCCGUGCGAGACGCCGCCUGGUCCGAGCCCAUGCUGGGCCCCGCCCUCAGCGCGCACCUGAGCGCCCAGCUCACCCACCUGAGCGUGUGCAACGUUCGCCUGCGUUCCGCCGCCGACUUUGUCCACACCUUGGCCGGCCUCAGCAACCUGCGCUACCUGCUCUUCCACCAGCAGGGGGAGGGCUGCGGGCUGGACCGGGUGCGCCCUGUGCCCCGGGACGACUUCCAUCACAUGAUGACCGGCCUGCCCAAGCUCACGCACCUCUCGUGGGGCAUGAGGGGCGAGCCCCAGGAGCCCCUGCCCGACAACUACCUAAGUCCGCCGGACCCGUGGCGCCCGGGCUUCCCGGUCGGGGGUCCAGCCCUGAGCAGUCUGGAACUGGUAGACUACCCCGAGACCAUCUUGCCCUACAAUGCGCUUAGGAGUCUGACCUCCCUUCGCUCGCUCACCGUGCAUUACCGCUACAUCCGCGAUGGACUGGACUGUCGCCUGGCGUCCUGGCUGGCGCCCCUCAAGCACUUGGAGACCCUCAGCAUAGUGGGCGGGAACUCCCUGUCGCUGUACACCAACACCAUCCCGGCCAGCGUCACACGGCUAACACUGCGUGUGGCCAUCACUCUGAAGGAUUUGGACUCCAUUGCGCCCAAAGUUUUGGCUCUGGAGCACCUGGACAUCGAGCAGAACCGCUCCAGCGGAAGCCUGUGCCGGCGCAUCCCCAUGUUGUUCCCUCAACUGCGGACGCUGCGCAUACGGUUCUUUCGCCGUGAGCCCGAGAAGGACCUCCUAAGCCUGCAACGUCUUCGGCACCUGGAGCGUCUGGAGCUCUUGGUGGAGCGCUCCUUCAUCCUGAGGGACUACCUGAACGGACACCCGUGGCCGAGCCCCUGCGUCCAGGAGCUCAUCGACCAGCUGGUGCAGCUGUCGGCCAACCGGAUCACAGUGGUGACCGCCAUGCGGCGCCGUAACCCGCUCAGAGAGUGUAACUGUGUCUGGGAGGGAGACUGAUGGAAGCCUGGAACUUGGACAACCUUGUGAAGCGCUUACAUGAACGAUGUGGUUGACCGUUAAUGACCUGAACCUGAGCUCGCCCAAAGACAAACAGACUACCUAGACCUUGAGCCACGAUAUAUCCAGGAAGUACAAGACUAGACCUGACUGAACAGGACGAGGCAAAGCAAGACUGGACUGGACAAUACAAGAAAACGACAAAAGGGCAGCACAAGACGAAUAAUAAGACGGGCUUGGACUAGACCACACAGUGUUAUUGUUAGCCAAAGCAAGACAGGACAGCACAACGAAGGAUGUGUGAAGACAAAAAUGGAUUGGACAGCACAAGACAAGACACUGUAAGACGAAAUAGGGAUGGACAAAGCCUGACCAGACAAGAUAAGGCAAGGUGUAGGACUGGGCAAUGCCAGACCAGUCAAGAAAAGACUUGCCCCCAAACAAGACAGGAAAGGAACAAUUAAGAUGAAAUGGGAAUGGACUACACCUUAUUCGGUCUUAGACAAGAUAGGACUGGACAAAACAAGAUGGGUCAAGAAAGGACAAGGCAGGCCCGGCAAGACCAAGACAAGAUUAUAAUCUUGGGACACAAAGAGGAGCCAACUCAAGACGGAUGAAGAGCCUUUCUCAGAAUUCCAGCAGGUGCGCGUGAGGUCCAUCGGCCUGGAUGUGCAGAAUCUGUCUAUUCCCGUACGUCCCGUGCUGAGCGCUCAGGCCAGGCGCCGUCACCUCCUGGCGAAACAGAGCCUCCAAGCAGGAGUAGAGCCGCAGUCCGUCCUCCUUGGCUAUGUUGUCGUGGUACUGCACUGUCCUGCCUUUGGCUUUGCCGCCCAGCGGGGCCUGAGGGACCAGCAGGAGGCUACCCGGGAGCUCUGCCAGCGAAACCAUCUUCCCUGACGGCGACUCGCAGACGCGCACGUAGAGCGGCGUCUAAACUACGUCAGCAAGAAGACAUUGCGUGCGAAAAUUAAUGUCUCAGAUCCCAAUGCGGACUCCCCACUUUAAUUUAAUUUGUGACUGCUGUCUGCUGACAGAGUUGAUGUGUGGUGGAUUUUGGUACAGUUGCACAACAGGGCCAAGAGACCGGAACUCUCUGGCGGGCCGGCGAGUUCACGUGACCGUACUUGUCGCUCGACUUGUACGGCCAAUCAGGCUCUCCCUCUGAAAUGGGUUGUUCCCAAACAAAGCAAAGCGGGAGCUGGCCAAGACGUCACGUAUUUUUGAGUGUCGAAUAAGGCCAACUGGCGGCAGAUGGUGUUUGACGCGCAUCCUUUCCGAAGAAUUGCGUUGUACUUUUAGCGAGGUGAGCAGUGGGCGAAUGCAAGGCCCGGAGGUGGCGGCCCAUCGCAAGGUUCGGAGGCGACUCACCCAUCUUGGGAAGGAUGUCUUCUGUUGCGCCUUUCAAAAAAACAAACGUAGACCACCAUGCCUCUGAACUCUCUCCCCCGUUGUUUACUUGUAUGUUACUCGUGUACUGUGUCUCGUCACCGUGGGAUGGAGGAAACGGAAUUUCGAUUUCUUUGUGUGUCUUGGCAUGAAGGAAUUGACAAUAAAGCUGACUCUGACUCUGAAUCUGCAACCACACAGACAUCACAGUGCCGUCUGACACCAGAGUGCGUGAUACGGCUCAUUUCCGAGGUUCACCCUUGCGCAUUGAAGGCUACGUACGGCCCUCUUGGGUUUGCAUUGCUCAACUCAAAAGAGAGCCACGUUGCAGCCGUCCAAAUGGCGGCCAGCAAAUAUAUUUAGAUGCAUGUGGUUGAUAACCCAGACCCAAAGCCUUGUUGGCUGCGUGGAAACGUAGUCGCUGAGGAAAUUUGAGCCUGACAGCUCACAGCGACAUAUUGUUCAUAAAAAGACAAAUAGCAAGUGUUUCGCUGCGCGAAUGCCUGUAUUUCACACUCCGGUCUCGAGCGUACAGCCCCUCUCUAGGCUGUUUUAGAUGAAUGACCAGGAUUCUUAGGCUCCUGGCAUCCUUGCCACCCAUCGUUUGAGUCGCGUGUGUUGGAGCAGAGAAACAUCCAAAACAGAGUGGCUCUCGAGGACCUGAAAGUUUCUGAUUUCGAACUAUAAAUAUCCAUCAGCUGCUUUCACUUUUCCAUUUUAUGAAACAAAACGAGGCCACUUUAGCGAUGAUUUUUCGUGCGUGGACGCAGGCGUUAGGAUAGAAGCUGCGCAUGUUGUACUGACCUGAACCCAUUGAGCCGGUUGUUGCUCGUCCUGCGGCUUCACCUGCAGCCUCGCCUGCAAACAUUACUGUAGAAUCGUGCGGACCACUGGGGUCGCACAACCGCUCCUGCCAGCCAUUCCACUUAGCUCAACAAAAUGUAUGGAUGUAGUUUGGAAAAUCAGGACUUGACAAGUUGAAGCACACUUCCGGGUUAUGUCACAUCUGUGUUACAUGUCAAGUUGCUCCCAUGUUAUCUUGCUCCCUGUCUCGAGUUACGACUGUUAUGGUAAAGCGAUUUUGUGUUUCGCGACUGGAGAUUCGUCACAAGCGACUUGGAACUUGCCUGACUGCAAAACUGUUCUAAUUCUCAAUAAAAACGCUGAACGAAA
Molecule: RNA transcript, 4237 nt
Organism: Syngnathus typhle (broad-nosed pipefish)
Lineage: Eukaryota; Metazoa; Chordata; Actinopteri; Syngnathiformes; Syngnathidae
Exons: 5
Source: RefSeq, a predicted model, not a curated record